This 678-nucleotide long non-coding RNA is filed under the name Homo sapiens (human). Its description in RNAcentral is "HSALNT0124078". Lineage: Eukaryota; Metazoa; Chordata; Mammalia; Primates; Hominidae. The record is from RNAcentral.
UUUUGACUGUAAUCAAACAGGUUUCCUCCAUGGUUGCAGACAUUCUGAAAGGGUCUGGGGGAGAAGAGGGCAGAAGGGCCGGUGAGGGAAAGCUAGCGAAGGAACGGCAGGCGUGGAAGGUGCGUUUCCGAGCAGAGACUCAUCGUGAACCAGAGCAUAGGAACAGCUCUUUCAAUUGCAGACAUCCCAAUGAGCUAGAAGGCUAUGGAGAGGCCAGAACAUUCUGGCACACAGGGACGUGUAAUAAUACUCAUAUUGGCUAACAUUUAUGGAGGUUUAUUGCAAGCCGGGCGCUGUGCUGAGAACAUUACUCAUUUGAACUUCACAACAGCCAUAGAAAAGCAGGUGCUAUUACUAUUAUCCUCGGUUUGCAGAUGUGAAAGCUGAGACCGGGAAAGAUGAAGUCAUUUAUCCAGGUCUUUUAAAUGCCAAAGCCCAAGCUAGAAUCACUACUGUGCUGCCUGAAUGAACAGGUACAAUGCCAUUGCAAUGGGAAGAAGAAAGUGCUAGGGUUGGUUCUCCUUCACCUUCUGCCAUGAGUGGAAGCUUCCUGUGGCCCUCACCAGAAGCAGAUGCUGGCACCAUGCUUCUUGUACACCCUGCAAUAAGCUAUGAUGAUUGCACCACUGCAUUCCAGCCUGAGAAACUCCAGCCUGCAGAACUGUGAGCCAAAUAAAC